RNAcentral lists this long non-coding RNA (4383 nucleotides) under Homo sapiens (human). RNAcentral describes it as "non-protein coding lnc-ZFP90-3:6". Lineage: Eukaryota; Metazoa; Chordata; Mammalia; Primates; Hominidae. The record is from RNAcentral.
AGCAAAGACGACCAGCCGAGGAUGGCUGGCGGAGGCGUGGGGCAGGCCGCAGGACCCUCGAAGGAUCGUGUGAGACCCCGGGCAGCCUCUUGGGAGGCCAUUUCGAGGAGAAAACCUUGAUUUCUGCCUCAGGACCCUGGGCCUCAGUUUUCCUAUCUGAGAAGAAGGGCGAAGAGCUGUGCCCCCGACCACACCCGUCGGUGAUGGGGCAAACCGAGGGCAAGCAGAGGAGCGCUUCACUUUUGGUCAUCCCUUGGGCCACCAGGGCCUUCCCGUCUCCGUCUUCCCAUCGCAGGUCCUGGCCUCCUUCACACCACUCCAGGAUACCGCAGCAUCUCCCCCAGCGCAGCAGACGGAGGGCGCUUCACAUGCCCCCGGACCUAAGCCCACUCUCCCCUUCAAGAUCUGGACUCCACUUUUUUGCAACACUCUUAACUUCUUUGGAAGCUGGGAAGCCUCCUACUCCCUUGGGCCUCUCCACCCUGCCCUCAGCUAACUCGUCGGCAAGCCCCAGCCUAGACAUUGCCUGUUUUGUGAAGACAUCUAGAUGCUGGGCUGUCUGUUGAGUGCCCCACCCUGUGUUUGAGCAGCACCCUCUACUUCCCCUGUUCUACUUGCAUGUUUAUGUGCUCGUCUUCCUCAUUAUAAGAUCCACAGGGGAGGGGCCAUGUCUAUAUUAUUCAUACUUACAGUCCAGUGUCUAGUAUCUGGCACGUAGUAGGCACUCACUAGCUAUUGAGAUAUAAAUAUAGAUAUUUGUUGAAUUGAAAAUGAAUUGGGCCGGGCGUGGUGGCUCACGCCUGUAAUCCCAGAACUUUGGGAGGCCGAGGCAGGUGGAUCACUAGGUCAGGAGUUCGAGACAAGUCUGACCAAAAUGGUGAAACCCAGUCUCUACUAAAAAUACAAAAAUUAGCUGGGCGUGGUGGCACGUGCCUGUAAUCCCAGCUAUUCAGGAGGCUGAGGCGGGAGAAUCGCUUGAACCCCGGGAGGUGGAGGUUGCAGUGAGUCGAGAUUGCACCACUACACUCCAGCCUGGACAACAGAGUGAGACCCUGUCUCAAAAAAAAAAAAAAAAAAAGAGAAAAAGAAUAAAAUUAAAAAAAAGAAAAUAAAGGAACCUCAUUCACAUACACCUCCAAAACUCUGAUUUCCUAAAGUUGGGCAUUUCUCAUUGCUGGAGGUGUUCAGUUAGAGGCAUGCCGCCCCCUUGAAGAAAUGUUUAUUUCAUUUGUACAGUGGGUUGGGAUUUUACCUGAAUGCUUUGAGUACCCUUUUAAUCCUAUGAUGCUAGAGAUUGAUAGACCCAUGCCUAUUAUUCCUGUCAGUUCUCCCUGAAAUGUCAUCAGUUCUUCAUGUUCCGCUAUUUCUAGCUGUUGGCCCUACUCGUUUCUGUGCCUAAAUGCCCUACCUCCCACUCCUUUUCUGAGAAAGAUCUUCUGCCCUGUCAGUUAUGAAGUAAAGAUGUCCUAAGAUUCCUGCUCUUUCUUUUUUCUUUCUUUCUUUCUCUCUCUUUUUUUUUUUUUUCGACGGAGUUUCGCUCUUGUUGCCUGGAGUGCAAUGGCUGGAGUGCAAUGGCGCGAUCUCAGCUCACUGCAGCCUCUGCCACCUAGGCCCACCUUGGUCUCCCCAAGUGCUGGCAUUACAGGUGUGAGCCACUGUGCCCGGCCUCCUGCUCUUCUUUCAACCCUCUGCUCAGCAUCUUAGGCCUCAUUGGUGAUGUCCCACCUUGCUAGGUAGCAUCUUUCCUGAAUAUUUCUCCACUAAACAUUCUGAUGUUGGCUAGAUGGCCUAGUUAAUCUACACAUUUCAUUUUAUCACCUUCUCCAGAUGUUUUUUUGUGUAUGUCAGCUGAUACACUCUGGGGAGAAUGCCUUAAUAUAUGGGAAUAAUUAACUCAUGGCCAAGAAGGAAAUAACCAAGGGGACUUUUACUCUGGACCUAAUUCAAACCAAAGAGACAGAGCCUGAGAGAAAGCAGCUCUGUCAUCCUUGAGUUAGUAACAUCCAGGAAGGGAAGGCUAGGGUGGGGGAGUGAGUAAAACAGAUGGCAUUUAGGGAAGAACCAACAGGACUUUAAGAGGCAUGGCAGAGGGGCUUUGAUCCUGGCUAAACCAUCAGGGAAGGCAAUUGGAGCUGGGUGAACAGAUGGGGUCUUAUUACUGAAGAGAAAACGGUAAGGAGGCAGGGGGAAAUGGGACGUGUGCUAAAGCAGAGUGCCUCAUUCAGUGGAUGCAGUGAGAGCAGAGGCUGUUGGAAAAGUGGAUCAGGGAGGACCAUGCCACCAGGUGGGCAUCAGCAGAGUAUCACCCGAGUAUUGCAGAGGGAUACCAAAUAAGUCCACCUGAAGCCAGAGCUGAAACCCUGUGGAGGUCCGUUUACCCCUUCAGAAGUAGUGUACCACCAUCCAUCUACCACUGGAAUCCAAUUUCAGUUUUGGCAAAUUGUUAUAAAUAGGAAAAAGUCAGGGUUCCACAAUUCUGGCAGCACCCAGAGACUAUAACAGCAUCUGCACAGCCAAGUAGAGUUAGGAAACCUGGAUCCUAAUCCUGACUUUGCCUCUGAUUAGAUGUGUGAUCCUGGGCUGGAGCUGUUUUUUCAGUUGUAAAAUGCUGUUUAUUGGUGUUAGGUAGCAGCUAAUAAGGCUGGAGGUGGGGCUGGGUGUAGUGGCUCACACAUGUAAUCUCAGCAGUUUGACAGGCCAAGGCAGGAGGAUUGCUGGAGGCCAGGGAUUUGAGACCAGCUUGGGCUACAUAGUGAGACUCUGCCUGUACUAAAAAUUAAAAAAAAAAAAAAUAACUCAGUGCAGUGGCGCAUGCCUGUAGUCCCAGCUACUCAGGAGGUUGGGGUGGGAGGGUUGCUUGAGCCCAGGAGUUUGAGGCUGCAGUGAACUAUGAUCAAUCACACCACUGCAUUCUAGUAGCCUGAGUGACAGAGCAAGACCUGUCUCUAAAAAAAAAGAAAUUUUUUUUAAGGGUGGAGGUAGGGAAAUUCAAAGCUACUUACUAGCUGUGUGACCUUGCCUAAACUACCUCCUUGGAUUUGCAGUCUGUUUAUUUGAAAAUGUCAUAAGGGAUAAAUGAGAUUCCUUAUGUAAAGUACUUUAUAAAUAUUAAGCACUUACCAAAUGUUAGUCUGUUUUCACAUUAUUCUUCUUGGAUUACCAGAAAUUGGUUUGACCAUGAAUAAACAGGAGAUAAUUUCUUGGGUAAUCUGAGUUUGAAUCCCCUUUCUCUCUCUUACUAAUUGUAUGACUUUGAUUAGGUUAUUUAAUAUUUAAUUGUUCUGGGUCUCAGUUUUCUCAUUUGUGAAAUUAAAAUGUGUUCUUCAGAAUUGUGAGGGUUAAAUGUGAUAAAAGGCCUGACUCAUAUGAGAAAAUGCUCAAUAUAUUUGUUUUGUCAUUUUUAAGGGGUGGUUUUAGGGCACAGAACCCUAAAGGAAUGAAUGGAAUUCUAAAUACUUCGAAGCUAGAGUAGUGAAAGAUUCCAGGGGAACACAGUGCUGGCCUUCUCCCUUCUUCUUGGGGAAGAAAAGAUCUCAGUGAAGUUCCAUGGGUCUUCUCACAAUGUUGGGAGUCUUCCUGGAGUGAGUCACCAUGCAUUCCACAAACAAGGCAGAAAUGACAGUGGUGUUAUUGCCCCACAGUUGGGUGGACUCCCCCAAGAUCCAGGUGUGAUCAGCCCUGGUCCUAGUGAUAGACCAGCCCUUCUCCUACUACCCACGGAAGCUGCCUCAUCAUUGCCACCAUCCGCUUUCUCAACAGGAGAGACUUGAUACAGAAGGCAUAGUCCCUGCUCUCAAAGAACCUGGGACAAGUUGGGGAGGUGCAGCUGAGUUGGUAAAGAACCCCUGGGUAGCAUAGGAGAGUGAAUUCAUAGAUUCUAUAGACAAACCCCAUACCCAUACUUGGAAGAGUUGAGGAGUGACUGGUUGUCCCCCUAGGGCCAAGAGCUGCUGCCUCCCUCCCCUCCUCCUUCUUUUGCACAGCUUUAUUGAGCAUAAUUGAUAUACAGUAAACUGCACACUUUGAUGGAUUUUUGACAUACGUCUGCCCCUGUGAAACCACCACCACAAUCAACAAUGACCAUCUCCAUCACUCAUUGCCUUGUACCCAUGGAAAUCCCCCCUUGCUGCCCUCCUGCCCCACUCCCAGUCAACCACUGACCUGCUGUCAGUGACUAUGGAUUAGUUCACAUAUUCUAGAAUUGUACACAUGUAGAAUCAUACAGUAUGUGCACUUUUUUGGGUCUGUCUUCUUUCACUCAGUGUCAUUGUUUUAAGGCUCAUCUACGUCAUUGUAUAAACAGUUUGUUCCUUUCUAUUGCUGAGUAGUAUUCCAUUAUAUGAAUAUACUACAAUUUGUUUAUCCAUUCGUCAAUGGACUUUG